RNAcentral lists this ribosomal RNA (393 nucleotides) under uncultured bacterium. RNAcentral's name for it is "partial 16S ribosomal RNA". It matches the Rfam family "Bacterial small subunit ribosomal RNA", at positions 523 to 918 of the family's 1533-position model. The record is from RNAcentral.
AUACGGAGGAUCCGAGCGUUAUCCGGAUUUAUUGGGUUUAAAGGGUGCGCAGGCGGGAGAUUAAGUCGGCGGUGAAAUUUUGCAGCUCAACUGGAAAAGUGCCUUCGAAACUGGUUUCCUUGAGUGUAGAUGAAGUAGGCGGAAUUUGUGGUGUAGCGGUGAAAUGCAUAGAUAUCACGAGGAACUCCGAUUGCGCAGGCAGCUUACUAAACUACUACUGACGCUCAAGCACGAAGGCGUGGGGAUCAAACAGGAUUAGAUACCCUGGUAGUCCACGCAGUAAACGAUGAUUACUAGCUGUUUGCGAUACAAUGUAAGCGGCUGAGCGAAAGCGUUAAGUAAUCCACCUGGGGAGUACGUUCGCAAGAAUGAAACUCAAAUGAAUUGGCGGGG